UUGAGACUGGAGCGGUAGCACAGAGAGCUGGCUCUCGGGUGACGAGCGGCGGACGGGUGAGUAAUGUCUGGGAAACUGCCUGAUGGAGGGGGAUAACUACUGGAAACGGUAGCUAAUACCGCAUAACGUCGCAAGACCAAAGUGGGGGACCUUCGGGCCUCAUGCCAUCAGAUGUGCCCAGAUGGGAUUAGCUAGUAGGUGGGGUAACGGCUCACCUAGGCGACGAUCCCUAGCUGGUCUGAGAGGAUGACCAGCCACACUGGAACUGAGACACGGUCCAGACUCCUACGGGAGGCAGCAGUGGGGAAUAUUGCACAAUGGGCGCAAGCCUGAUGCAGCCAUGCCGCGUGUGUGAAGAAGGCCUUCGGGUUGUAAAGCACUUUCAGCGGGGAGGAAGGCGUUGAGGUUAAUAACCUUGUCGAUUGACGUUACCCGCAGAAGAAGCACCGGCUAACUCCGUGCCAGCAGCCGCGGUAAUACGGAGGGUGCAAGCGUUAAUCGGAAUUACUGGGCGUAAAGCGCACGCAGGCGGUCUGUCAAGUCGGAUGUGAAAUCCCCGGGCUCAACCUGGGAACUGCAUUCGAAACUGGCAGGCUAGAGUCUUGUAGAGGGGGGUAGAAUUCCAGGUGUAGCGGUGAAAUGCGUAGAGAUCUGGAGGAAUACCGGUGGCGAAGGCGGCCCCCUGGACAAAGACUGACGCUCAGGUGCGAAAGCGUGGGGAGCAAACAGGAUUAGAUACCCUGGUAGUCCACGCCGUAGACGAUGUCGAUUUGGAGGUUGUGCCCUUGAGGCGUGGCUUCCGGAGCUAACGCGUUAAAUCGACCGCCUGGGGGAGUACGGCCGCAAGGUUAAAACUCAAAUGAAUUGACGGGGGCCCGCACAAGCGGUGGAGCAUGUGGUUUAAUUCGAUGCAACGCGAAGAACCUUACCUGGUCUUGACUUCCACAGAACUUUCCAGAGAUGGAUUGGUGCCUUCGGGAACUGUGAAAA
This 990-nucleotide ribosomal RNA is filed under the name Klebsiella pneumoniae. RNAcentral describes it as "bacterial SSU rRNA". It matches the Rfam family "Bacterial small subunit ribosomal RNA", at positions 55 to 1035 of the family's 1533-position model. The record is from RNAcentral. Lineage: Bacteria; Pseudomonadati; Pseudomonadota; Gammaproteobacteria; Enterobacterales; Enterobacteriaceae.